RNAcentral lists this transfer RNA (62 nucleotides) under Platevindex mortoni. RNAcentral's name for it is "tRNA-Val". The record is from RNAcentral. Lineage: Eukaryota; Metazoa; Mollusca; Gastropoda; Systellommatophora; Onchidiidae.
UGGGGUGAAGUAUUUUGUACAUCUUAGUUACAUUAAGAAGGACCAUAGUUUUGGCGCCCUAA